UGGGGAAUUUUGGACAAUGGGGGAAACCCUGAUCCAGCCAUCCCGCGUGUGCGAUGAAGGCCUUCGGGUUGUAAAGCACUUUUGGUAGGAAAGAAACGUCAUGGGUUAAUACCCCGUGAAACUGACGGUACCUGCAGAAUAAGCACCGGCUAACUACGUGCCAGCAGCCGCGGUAAUACGUAGGGUGCAAGCGUUAAUCGGAAUUACUGGGCGUAAAGCGUGCGCAGGCGGUUCGGAAAGAAAGAUGUGAAAUCCCAGAGCUCAACUUUGGAACUGCAUUUUUAACUACCGGGCUAGAGUGUGUCAGAGGGAGGUGGAAUUCCGCGUGUAGCAGUGAAAUGCGUAGAUAUGCGGAGGAACACCGAUGGCGAAGGCAGCCUCCUGGGAUAACACUGACGCUCAUGCACGAAAGCGUGGGGAGCAAACAGG
RNAcentral lists this ribosomal RNA (429 nucleotides) under Acidobacteriota bacterium. RNAcentral describes it as "Acidobacteria bacterium partial 16S ribosomal RNA". It matches the Rfam family "Bacterial small subunit ribosomal RNA", at positions 355 to 776 of the family's 1533-position model. The record is from RNAcentral. Lineage: Bacteria; Pseudomonadati; Acidobacteriota.